This 497-nucleotide ribosomal RNA is filed under the name uncultured bacterium. Its description in RNAcentral is "partial 16S ribosomal RNA". It matches the Rfam family "Bacterial small subunit ribosomal RNA", at positions 28 to 507 of the family's 1533-position model. The record is from RNAcentral.
GAUGAACGCUGGCGGCGUGCCUAAUACAUGCCAGUCGAGCGAACAGACGAGGAGCUUGCUCCUCUGACGUUAGCGGCGGACGGGUGAGUAACACGUGGAUAACCUACCUAUAAGACUGGGAUAACUUCGGGAAACCGGAGCUAAUACCGGAUAAUAUAUUGAACCGCAUGGUUCAAUAGUGAAAGACGGUUUUGCUGUCACUUAUAGAUGGAUCCGCGCCGCAUUAGCUAGUAGGUAAGGUAACGGCUUACCAAGGCAACGAUGCGUAGCCGACCUGAGAGGGUGAUCGGCCACACUGGAACUGAGACACGGUCCAGACUCCUACGGGAGGCAGCAGUAGGGAAUCUUCCGCAAUGGGCGAAAGCUUGACGGAGCAACGCCGCGUGAGUGAUGAAGGUCUUCGGAUCGUAAAACUCUGUUAUUAGGGAAGAACAAAUGUGUAAGUAACUAUGCACGUCUUGACGGUACCUAAUCAGAAAGCCACGGCUAACUACGUG